AGCCUGGAGUCUGUGUCGGACGGACGGAUUACUUUUCCAAGCCGGAGAUUUUCCCCGGAGUGCCGGCCUCGGCAGAGUUGAGACCGACAACGCCUAGCUGACCUGACUACCCCGACUGACUGACCAUUCACGGUACCCUCAUCAAACCUCUCUGUUACGUCGGCUUUGGGUCGGCCCAGUGCCAUAGAAUGUCUGCCCACAUACGGAAGUCGCCACUGAAGGCGGAAUUUCAUCUCCGCGGUGUUUGUUUGGAACUGAGCUCGCAGGACACAGCAUCUCAUCGCAGUUGGUUUCAGGUAAGCUCUACUGGAAUAAAUUGGCAGAAAAUAGCUUUGUUGUUUCUUCUGUGACCGUUAAAAGAG
Epinephelus moara (kelp grouper) is the source of this 362-nucleotide long non-coding RNA. RefSeq lists it as uncharacterized. Lineage: Eukaryota; Metazoa; Chordata; Actinopteri; Perciformes; Serranidae. The transcript has 3 exons. The record is from RefSeq and is a predicted model, not a curated record.